Molecule: ribosomal RNA, 254 nt
Filed under: uncultured bacterium
Lineage: Bacteria
Description: partial 16S ribosomal RNA
Rfam family: Bacterial small subunit ribosomal RNA
Source: RNAcentral
UACGGGGGGAGCAAGCGUUGUUCGGAUUUACUGGGCGUAAAGGGCGCGUAGGCGGCCACCGCAAGUCGAUUGUGAAAUCUCCGGGCUUAACCCGGAAAGGUCAACCGAUACUGCGGGACUAGAGUGCAGAAGGGGCAACUGGAAUUCUCGGUGUAGCGGUGAAAUGCGUAGAUAUCGAGAGGAACACCUGCGGCGAAGGCGGGUUGCUGGGCUGACACUGACGCUGAAGCGCGAAAGCUAGGGGAGCGAACGGG